GCUUUGUUGGCUUAAUUGGUUGAGAUGCCUCAUUAAUAUUUUGGAAUCAUGGGUUCGAAUCCCAGCAAGAGCA
Molecule: non-coding RNA, 73 nt
Organism: Penstemon davidsonii
Lineage: Eukaryota; Viridiplantae; Streptophyta; Magnoliopsida; Lamiales; Plantaginaceae
Source: the annotation of a GenBank genome assembly